CUGGGCCGUAAAGCGCACGCAGGCGGUCUGUCAAAGUCAGAUGUGAAAUCCCCGGGGCUCAACCUGGGAACUGCAUUCUGAUACUGGCAGGCUAGAGUCUCGUAGAGGGGGGUAGAAUUCCAGGUGUAGCGGUGAAAUGCGUAGAGAUCUGGAGGAAUACCGGUGGCGAAGGCGGCCCCCUGGACGAAGACUGACGCUCAGGUGCGAAAGCGUGGGGAGCAAACAGGAUUAGAUACCCUGGUAGUCCACGCCGUAAACGAUGUCGAUUUGGAGGUUGUGCCCUUGAGGCGUGGCUUCCGGAGCUAACGCGUUAAAUCGACCGCCUGGGGAGUACGGCCGCAAGGUUAAAACUCAAAUGAAUUGACGGGGGCCCGCACAAGCGGUGGAGCAUGUGGUUUAAUUCGAUGCAACGCGAAGAACCUUACCUGGUCUUGACAUCCACAGAACUUUCCAGAGAUGGAUUGGUGCCUUCGGGAACUGUGAGACAGGUGCUGCAUGGCUGUCGUCAGCUCGUGUUGUGAAAUGUUGGGUUAAGUCCCGCAACGAGCGCAACCCUUAUCCUUUGUUGCC
This 570-nucleotide ribosomal RNA is filed under the name Enterobacter sp. SG1. RNAcentral's name for it is "bacterial SSU rRNA". It matches the Rfam family "Bacterial small subunit ribosomal RNA", at positions 547 to 1119 of the family's 1533-position model. The record is from RNAcentral. Lineage: Bacteria; Pseudomonadati; Pseudomonadota; Gammaproteobacteria; Enterobacterales; Enterobacteriaceae.